GGUAAGGUUCUCCUUUUUCACUGUGCAAGUGUCCACAGAGCCAUUCAUUUCAAUCUCAAACAUCUCUUUUAAAACAGACUCUAAUUCUGUCUUUUCUCUUGUAGAGGAGUCUGAUGGAAUAAUUGUGAUCUUGGGUGUUCUGACUGUUUUCUUCAUGAUAGCUGUCAUUGUUCUGUCUGUUAAAAACAGGAAACUUCAGAAAGCUGCUAAAGAAGAACUGCAUCCUGAAAGAAACAAGAAUGUGGGCUCUGAUGAUCUGAACUCUGCAGCUCUGAGGUUCCUUCCAAACACAAUAAGGAACAGGAGGCCUGAUCAGAGAGAGAAGUGGAGACUCAGGUUCUUUAUAGCGCCAGCAGAUAGACACAAGCAGCAAUAGGACUGUAACUCUCACUGGAACUGAUGCUCUAUAUUCAUCUGCUGCCAGAGUCAAUGGCAACAUUCUUUUAUUAAAUAAAGUUCCUAUACUCAUGGUCA
Molecule: long non-coding RNA, 474 nt
Organism: Perca fluviatilis (European perch)
Lineage: Eukaryota; Metazoa; Chordata; Actinopteri; Perciformes; Percidae
Exons: 3
Source: RefSeq, a predicted model, not a curated record